This 843-nucleotide ribosomal RNA is filed under the name uncultured bacterium. RNAcentral's name for it is "SSU rRNA". It matches the Rfam family "Bacterial small subunit ribosomal RNA", at positions 524 to 1381 of the family's 1533-position model. The record is from RNAcentral.
UACGUAGGAGGCGAACGUUAUUCGGAUUUACUGGGCGUAAAGGGAGCGUAGGCGGUUCUCUAAGUCGAAUGUGAAAUCCUCUGGCUUAAUCGGAGGGCGCCAUUUGAUACUGGGGGACUUGAGAGCAGCAGAGGGAAACGGAAUCUCCAGUGUAGCGGUGAAAUGCGUAGAUAUUGGAGAGAACACCAGUGGCGAAGGCGGUUUUCCAGGCUGUUUCUGACGCUGAGGCUCGAAAGCGUGGGGAGCGAAGCGGAUUAGAUACCCGCGUAGUCCACGCCCUAAACGGUGGACACUAGAUAUAGGAGGUAUCGACCCUUUCUGUGUCGAAGCUAACGCUUUAAGUGUCCCGCCUGGGGAGUACGGCCGCAAGGCUGAAACUCAAAGGAAUUGACGGGUCUCCGCACAAGCAGCGGAGCGUGUGGUUUAAUUCGAUGCUACACGAAGAACCUUACCAGGACUUGACAUGUAGAGUUCAACCGGCGAAAGCCGGCGGCCCGCAAGGGCGAUCUGCACAGGUGCUGCAUGGCUGUCGUCAGCUCGUGCCGUGAGGUGUUGGGUUAAGUCCCGCAACGAGCGCAACCCUUGUCCUAUGUUAAGUUCUCAUAGGAGACUGCCUUGUACAGCAAGGAGGAAGGAAAGGAUGACGUCAAGUCAGCACGGCCUUUAUGUCCUGGGCUACACACACGCUACAAUGGACGAUACAGAGGGUUGCUAAGGAGCGAUCCGGAGCUAAUCCCUAAAAAUCGUCCUCAGUUCGGAUUGCAGGCUGAAAUCGCCUGCAUGAAGUCGGAGUUGCUAGUAACCGCAGGUCAGCUAUACUGCGGUGAAUACGUUCUCGGGGAU